RNAcentral lists this ribosomal RNA (254 nucleotides) under uncultured bacterium. RNAcentral's name for it is "partial small subunit ribosomal RNA". It matches the Rfam family "Bacterial small subunit ribosomal RNA", at positions 26 to 285 of the family's 1533-position model. The record is from RNAcentral.
AGGACGAACGCUGGCGGCGUGCUUAACACAUGCAAGUCGAGCGGAAAGGCCCUUCGGGGUACUCGAGCGGCGAACGGGUGAGUAACACGUGAGCAAUCUGCCCCUAGCUCUGGGAUAGCUCCGGGAAACCGGGAUUAAUACCAGAUACAACCACUUUAGACAUCUUUUGUGGUGGAAAGGAUUCCGGCUAGGGAUGAGCUCGCGGCCUAUCAGCUUGUUGGUGAGGUAACGGCUCACCAAGGCGACGACGGGUA